UACGUAGGCAGCAAGCGUUGUUCGGAAUUACUGGGCGUAAAGAGUGUGUAGGCGGUGCUCUAAGUUCGGUGUGAAAUCUCCCGGCUUAACUGGGAGGGUGCGCCGGAAACUGGAGUGCUUGAGCGCGGGAGAGGAAAGCGGAAUUCCUGGUGUAGCGGUGAAAUGCGUAGAUAUCAGGAGGAACACCUGUGGUGUAGACGGCUUUCUGGACCGUAGCUGACGCUGAGACACGAAAGCGCGGGUAGCAAACAGG
Molecule: ribosomal RNA, 253 nt
Filed under: uncultured bacterium
Lineage: Bacteria
Description: partial 16S ribosomal RNA
Rfam family: Bacterial small subunit ribosomal RNA
Source: RNAcentral